Molecule: transfer RNA, 70 nt
Filed under: Moho braccatus
Lineage: Eukaryota; Metazoa; Chordata; Aves; Passeriformes; Mohoidae
Description: tRNA-Phe
Rfam family: tRNA
About the family: Transfer RNA (tRNA) molecules are approximately 80 nucleotides in length.
Source: RNAcentral
GCCUCCGUAGCUUAACACAAAGCAUGACACUGAAGAUGUCAAGAUGGCCGCUUACACGCACCCAGAGGCA